CCUCUCAUCAUUAGUCACGGUAACAAAGACAUGCUCGCGAAGAAGCCGAAGGAGGAGCCCUCUCUCUCUCUCUCUCUCUCUCUCUCUCUCUCUCUCUCUCCCCCCUCCCUUCCUUCAUGGCAGCUUCUUCCUUCUUCUCUUCACUUUUCCUCCCCUAACCCUAAUUUUCAUCUCUUUCAUAGCUCCAAAACUCCGCCAAUUCUCGUUCUCCUCUCUCCUAGAGAAAAUCGUUCACCGUACACAGCGACCGGAGAGAUUUUCUUGAGACUUACUUCGCUACUGAUUAAUGGCUGGAGCAACGGGGCACUGUUGUCGGGGAUUCCAGAUCUGUGACCAUGUUUGAGCCUGAGGUCCUGUAGCAGCAGAGGCUGAGCGUCAAAGAGAAGGCGAGAAGCGAAAUACAAGUCCGAUGGCACUAAACUUGGCGAGGUCUAAACGCAGAUGAAACCAGCUGAUCAGAAAGCAAAACAUGAGUCCCGCCAGAGCAACGAAGCAGGUCCACCAGAUGGAUAUAUAUUUUCAACGCAGAAACAAGGUAUAUAUGUUAGAGUUCACCAAGCUCUUAAUCAAUCAAGUCAAUAUUGGUACCAGAAAACAAACGGAUUAAACAUUUUCAUUAUUCUUGUAAUUAUCAUGUAAUUUCUGUGAAUUCCUCUUGUAGAUCUACACAACCGUGUAAUGUUAAUUUUUUUUCCUUUCAGACACAAAUUAAAGGCUCUGUAUAUAACAAUUCUCCCCAAUAAAUCCGUCCAACUUAUUAACAAUGAUCUCUCUGAUUAUUAGUUUAUAUACAACAAUCACGAGUAAGGUAAGAAUUAAGAACUAUUCUUCCAUCUUUUUCUUUGUUUUUUUUUCCUUUUUAAUAUAAGGUCAUCACUGUAUCCCACCAUGAAGAUGGAUUAUUGAGUUUGCUUGGCGAGCAAACUCACAUAUUCAUCGGCUUAAUUCUCUAACUUCUAUCAUUUUCAUGGUGACAAGAUGAAGGUAAAUGAAAAAUACUCUAAUAAGGGAACAACUGCUCCUGGCCAAAAAGUAGAAGGUAUACUUUCUUUGACCCAAUAUAGAUUGUCACAUAUUCUUCGUUUUAGCAUGAUAAGAAGCUCGUACAUUUAUCUUGUUAUCAUCCUUCUUAUGGGAAAAUUCAAAACUACAAAUGUAGAAAUUACUCCACAAAUUUCAUAACUUAUAACUCACUAGUGCAAAUUUGACUUUUUAUGGGGAUACUUUUUAUAUAGGUUGUUUAGCAAAUGAUAUAGAAAAUCAAGAUGGUAGCAAUUUUAUAAUUAUCAACUUGAAUUGAAAUUUACAUUAGUUCUUAAAAAGUAAUAUUUUAUACAUCGGUUGCUUGAUAAACUGAUGUAAAAAGUGAUUAAAAAUUUAAAAAUUUUAAGAAUUUAUUACUUUAUACAUGGGUUCCAUAAGGAACCAACAUAAAAAGUCUUUAAAAAGGUCCCUUGCAUUCACUGAUCUCCAUCAUCACUCUCAUCAAUGCCUCAUCAUCGUGGUUAACCCACGGUGCUCCUAUUCACUGUGCCCAAAACUUGUUGGCCUUCGUUGAUGCUCUUUCUUCAUUAUUUUGCUUGUAUUCCUCCAUUUUUGCCAAGAGAAGAGAGGUAAUGUUCUAUGGGUUAAAUGCCCUAUUUGAUUUAGGAGUUUUAGAAUGGUUGCUCUCUAAUUUAGCAUGCUAUACGAAUCCUUCAUGUAUAUCCUUGAUUUAAUGAAUAUUCCGCUUUAGAAUGGUUGUUCUCUGAAUAUAUAUAUAUAUAUAUAUAUAUGCAUCAUAUGUCAUCUCACUUGAUUUGUUUUAUUCCUAUUUAGCGUUUGUGUUUCUUUCCUUUUUCCCAAUGGCUUGUGCGUAUAUUCGCAUUCAAUUCAAGCUUUAACAACUACAGCUUUGAUUAGAUGUUUUGGGUGUUGGAUCUAUCGCCUUUGCAUUCUUGCCAAAAGAAUAAGAAAGGACUACUGGUUUUAUUUUGUUGCAUUAUUGAGUAUUUGGUUUGUAUUUGAUGGAAUCUGUACAGCAAUGGGAAUUGUAAAUUAGAGCUGCUUCACAGAGAAAUAAAGGAAAAAAAACAAAGCUAAAGAAGAAGACUAGAACAAAGGACUUGGAAUUAGGCAUUUUGGUGAUGUCCCUUUUGGAGAAGCCUGCACUUAGUGGUAGUGGUACAUUUCUAUUCUAUCACUUAACAAGUAUUCAUUAUUUUGUGUUUGUUUAAGAAUAUUGGCCUAUUCAGAUGUGCAUAUGCGAAUGAAAAAGAGAUACAACAGAAAAGCAAGGACUAGGAGUGUUGGGUAAAUUUACUUGUAUCACUUCAAGCUUACUAAUAUAGCCGUGGUUGAUCUUUGAAUCACUUUCUGAUUUUU
Prosopis cineraria is the source of this 2364-nucleotide long non-coding RNA. RefSeq lists it as uncharacterized. The record is from RefSeq and is a predicted model, not a curated record. Lineage: Eukaryota; Viridiplantae; Streptophyta; Magnoliopsida; Fabales; Fabaceae. The transcript has 2 exons.